This is an unclassified non-coding RNA of Dasypus novemcinctus (nine-banded armadillo), 144 nucleotides long. Lineage: Eukaryota; Metazoa; Chordata; Mammalia; Cingulata; Dasypodidae. The record is from Ensembl.
GAUGAGAAGGAGAAUAAGCCUCAUUCUUGUUCAUAGUAAAGAAUCGAUGAAAAGACUUUUUACCUCUUGCCACCAGACAUGUUUUAUCUGAGCUUAAAGAACUGGAAAACACACAUGAAAGAAGUGUUUCCCUGGAAGGAUGAA